GAGAACCGAGUGGCAAACGGGUGAGUAACGCGUAGACAACCUGACCGCAAAGGAUGGGGACAACAGUCCGAAAGGACUGCUAAUACCGAAUGUUGUGCAACCUCCGCAUGGAGGAUGCAUUAAAGAUGGCCUCUACUUGUAAGCUAUCGCUUUGCGAUGGGUCUGCGUCUGAUUAGCUAGUUGGUGGGGUAACGGCCUACCAAGGCGACGAUCAGUAGCCGGUCUGAGAGGAUGAACGGCCACAUUGGAACUGAGACACGGUCCAGACUCCUACGGGAGGCAGCAGUGGGGAAUCUUCCGCAAUGGGCGAAAGCCUGACGGAGCAACGCCGCGUGAGUGAAGAAAGGUCUUCGGAUCGUAAAGCUCUGUUGUCGGGGACGAAUGUACCUUUUGUGAAUAAUGAGAGGUAAUGACGGUACCUGACGAGGAAGCCACGGCUAACUACGUGCCAGCCGCAGC
This 459-nucleotide ribosomal RNA is filed under the name uncultured bacterium. RNAcentral describes it as "bacterial SSU rRNA". It matches the Rfam family "Bacterial small subunit ribosomal RNA", at positions 86 to 518 of the family's 1533-position model. The record is from RNAcentral.